Molecule: ribosomal RNA, 498 nt
Filed under: uncultured bacterium
Lineage: Bacteria
Description: partial 16S ribosomal RNA
Rfam family: Bacterial small subunit ribosomal RNA
Source: RNAcentral
GGAUGAACGCUGGCGGCGUGCCUACUCCAUGCAAGUCGAGCGAACAGACGAGGAGCUUGCUCCUCUGACGUUAGCGGCGGACGGGUGAGUAACACGUGGAUAACCUACCUAUAAGACUGGGAUAACUUCGGGAAACCGGAGCUAAUACCGGAUAAUAUAUUGAACCGCAUGGUUCAAUAGUGAAAGACGGUUUUGCUGUCACUUAUAGAUGGAUCCGCGCCGCAUUAGCUAGUUGGUAAGGUAACGGCUUACCAAGGCAACGAUGCGUAGCCGACCUGAGAGGGUGAUCGGCCACACUGGAACUGAGACACGGUCCAGACUCCUACGGGAGGCAGCAGUAGGGAAUCUUCCGCAAAGGGCGAAAGCCUGACGGAGCAACGCCGCGUGAGUGAUGAAGGUCUUCGGAUCGUAAAACUCUGUUAUUAGGGAAGAACAAAUGUGUAAGUAACUAUGCACGUCUUGACGGUACCUAAUCAGAAAGCCACGGCUAACUACGUG